This 316-nucleotide ribosomal RNA is filed under the name uncultured bacterium. RNAcentral describes it as "bacterial SSU rRNA". It matches the Rfam family "Bacterial small subunit ribosomal RNA", at positions 196 to 507 of the family's 1533-position model. The record is from RNAcentral.
GGACCGCAAGGCCUUGCGUCGAUGGAGCGGCCGAUGCCGGAUUAGCUAGUUGGUGAGGUAAAGGCUCACCAAGGCGACGAUCCCGUAGCUGGUCUGAGAGGACGACCAGCCACACUGGGACUGAGACACGGCCCAGACUCCUACGGGAGGCAGCAGUGGGGAAUCUUGGACAAUGGGCGAAAGCCUGAUCCAGCAAUGCCGCGUGUGGGAAGAAGGCCUUCGGGUUGUAAACCACUUUUGGCGGGAAAGAAAUGGUCUGUGCUAAUACCACGGAUUGAUGACGGUACCCGCAGAAUAAGCACCGGCUAACUACGUG